Molecule: ribosomal RNA, 1211 nt
Filed under: metagenome
Description: bacterial SSU rRNA
Rfam family: Bacterial small subunit ribosomal RNA
Source: RNAcentral
AGGUAACGGCUCACCAAGACAGCGAUGUCUAGGGGUUCUGAGAGGAAUAUCCCCCACACUGGUACUGAGACACGGACCAGACUCCUACGGGAGGCAGCAGUAAGGAAUAUUGGUCAAUGGGCGAAAGCCUGAACCAGCCAUGCCGCGUGCAGGAUGAAGGCCCUAUGGGUUGUAAACUGCUUUUAUGUGGGAAGAAACUCCUGUACGUGUACAGGACUGACGGUACUACACGAAUAAGGACCGGCUAACUCCGUGCCAGCAGCCGCGGUAAUACGGAGGGUCCAAGCGUUAUCCGGAUUCAUUGGGUUUAAAGGGUGCGCAGGCGGACCGAUAAGUCAGUGGUGAAAUCCUACAGCUCAACUGUAGAACUGCCAUUGAUACUGUCGAUCUUGAGUAUAGUUGAAGUGGGCGGAAUGUAUCAUGUAGCGGUGAAAUGCAUAGAUAUGAUACAGAACUCCGAUAGCGAAGGCAGCUCACUAACCUAUAACUGACGCUCAGGCACGAAAGCGUGGGGAGCAAACAGGAUUAGAUACCCUGGUAGUCCACGCCGUAAACGAUGAUCACUCGUUGUUGGCGAUACACAGUCAGCGACUGAACGAAAGCAUUAAGUGAUCCACCUGGGAAGUACGAUCGCAAGGUUGAAACUCAAAGGAAUUGACGGGGGCCCGCACAAGCGGAGGAGCAUGUGGUCUAAUUCGAUGAUACGCGAGGAACCUUACCUGGGCUUAAAUGUAUAAUGACCGACUGGGAAACCAGUCUUCUCUUCGGAGCAUUUUACAAGGUGCUGCAUGGUUGUCGUCAGCUCGUGCCGUGAGGUGUCGGGUUAAGUCCCAUAACGAGCGCAACCCCUAUUCUUAGUUGCCAUCAGAUAAUGCUGGGGACUCUAAGGAAACUGCCUACGCAAGUAGUGAGGAAGGUGGGGAUGACGUCAAAUCAGCAUGGCCCUUAUGUCCAGGGCUACACACGUGCUACAAUGGUCGGUACAGAGGGUCGCUACCUGGUGACAGGAUGCUAAUCUCGAAAACCGAUCUCAGUUCGGAUCGAAGUCUGCAACUCGACUUCGUGAAGCUGGAUUCGCUAGUAAUCGCAUAUCAGCAAUGGUGCGGUGAAUACGUUCCCGGGCCUUGUACACACCGCCCGUCAAGCCAUGGAAGCUGGGGGUACCUGAAGUCUGUGACCGCAAGGAGCGGCCUAGGGUGAAACUAGUAACU